Molecule: long non-coding RNA, 1646 nt
Organism: Daphnia magna
Lineage: Eukaryota; Metazoa; Arthropoda; Branchiopoda; Diplostraca; Daphniidae
Exons: 4
Source: RefSeq, a predicted model, not a curated record
AUUUAUCUCAAAAUUCUGUAAAGGCAAUUGGCAACUUAUCUAGCUCAUAAAAUCUUGCAAUUUGAUCUAGGAGAACGUAUGCACUCCAGCAAAUGCGUACGGCGGUGCAGUGGGCGUAUUGUGUCGAGUGAUAUCCAGAUGGUCGGCAUUGGUUUCUAAUUUGACGUACUGAAGCCGUCUGGAACAAGAGUGCUAAGAGCCAAGCCAUGGGGAAGAAAAUUCAUUCUCUCUGUUCACAUGACCAGUGUAACAGCCAAAAUAACAAGGGCUUUGUUGUUGUUGCUUAGACGUUUUGAUGUUCGAAUUUUGAUAAGGAUGUAGAUCCUGCCAAUACGGAAGUUCAGCCAAUGUUGUAGCACGACAAGUUGAUGCCCUAGUUACGUCGUGCGGUUCGGGUUAGUUUCACCGAGAUGAGGAAAAGGUAGGCCUAUCUGUUAAAUUCAUUUCUGCCAUUGGAGCAGCUACAGGUAUGAAAACUAUUGAUCCGGCAGCCGAAUUUGGUGCUUUUUAUUUUUAAUUAGAAAAAUUCCUUAUAAAAAUCAGUCCCAAUAAAUUCCUCCAAUAAUCCAGCAUCAUUCUUCUGUUGUUUUUAACUAUUGCCUUCUUUAACUCCUUUGUUUGUCUUCGAAUGAGGUAAUAAUUCAGCAAACACAAGAAUGAUGCUGGAUAUGUUUUAUUUACAGUGACAACAUAACAUCGGUGGCAUUCCCUUCGGACACCGAGUGAUCCCAAGGCAUCAGGUACAUCCAGGAUAUCUGCAAGUACAAUUUAAAAAUUUAUUCUGUUAACCCCUAACGAUCAAUCCAGGACUUGGUUUUCUUGUCUAGUCGUCUAAGGCGGUCUAAGGGUCUAAACGUUACAAUCAGGUUGCAAAAAAUAUUGCAGAGAUAAAUUACUUGCUUUAAAAACAAUAUUUAGUAGCAAAGCUGGGUGCAUAAAACAUGCAUUUUAAUCUAGACAAAUGAGAAUACGAAUUCAUUACUUGGGAAACUGCUACGAAUUGUGAUUAUUCCCCUCGCGCUAGGGAGUGCGUGGAACAUCAUUCAGAGAACUACGCUAGUGCCUGAUGACAUCCAUAGGGCUUGUACCAUUUGCCUCGGAAGGUGUAUAAAUGCCUGGUAGUAUUCCAAUGUUUGCUAUCACUUACCGAGUUGAGCUCAGCAACAGCAGAACAGCAAGAAAUCAAUCUUUUCUUUAGAAUGAAACAGCAGACGUUCGCUGUAAUUGUCUUGGUAGUAUUGUGUUCAGUUCAACCUUAGCUUAAAGAAACUGGUGAUGAUAGUUUUGCUCCUCUAACGAAAACAUCGGAAGAAGAAAACUCGCCUGUGUCCCGCCUUAACAUUGUUGAAGACGCAACGGGUAGACAGUCUUUGCCAAUGCUUCCUCAACCAUGCUCAACCAAGAAUUACCAUAGGGUCUACUGUACGUCUAGGUGUAAAGGUGUUCCGUAGGCCUAUAAUAGGCCUAUCGUGAAACAAACUCGAUUCACCAUGACACGCUUGUUUUUUACACAAGUUUUAUAAAGAGAAACAUGUUAAAUGCGAAGGGUUAACGAGAACAUUUUUGUAUGAAACAUAUCAUUUGACAUUAAUGUUAUACUUCAAGAACGACUGUGAUGAACGAAUAAAUAUGGGAGAUGAAAUGUU